UACUAGCGGUCCAAGUCGCAGCCAUCAUUAUUGGGUCUAAAACAUCCGUAGCUUGCUUAAUAAGUUCCUUGUGAAAUCUUGUCUCUUAAGGGCAAGGCGUGCAAGGAGUACUGCUAAGCUAGAGAUUGGAAGACGUAGAAAGUAUGUCUAAAGUAACGGUAAAAUGUGUUAAUCUUAGGCAGACUCACAACAGCGAAGGCAUUCUACGAGGACAGUUCUGACAGUAAAGGAUGAAGGCUAGGGGC
This 245-nucleotide ribosomal RNA is filed under the name uncultured archaeon. RNAcentral's name for it is "partial 16S ribosomal RNA". It matches the Rfam family "Archaeal small subunit ribosomal RNA", at positions 474 to 718 of the family's 1478-position model. The record is from RNAcentral.